RNAcentral lists this ribosomal RNA (1266 nucleotides) under Listeria monocytogenes. RNAcentral's name for it is "partial 23S ribosomal RNA". It matches the Rfam family "Bacterial large subunit ribosomal RNA", at positions 1 to 1259 of the family's 2925-position model. Lineage: Bacteria; Bacillati; Bacillota; Bacilli; Caryophanales; Listeriaceae. The record is from RNAcentral.
UUGGUUAAGUUAGAAAGGGCGCACGGUGGAUGCCUUGGCACUAGGAGCCGAAGAAGGACGGGACUAACACCGAUAUGCUUUGGGGAGCUGUACGUAAGCGUUGAUCCAGAGAUUUCCGAAUGGGGGAACCCACUAUCUUUAGUCGGAUAGUAUCCUUACGUGAAUACAUAGCGUGAGGAAGGCAGACCCAGGGAACUGAAACAUCUAAGUACCUGGAGGAAGAGAAAGAAAAAUCGAUUUCCUGAGUAGCGGCGAGCGAAACGGAAAGAGCCCAAACCAAGAAGCUUGCUUCUUGGGGUUGUAGGACACUCUAUACGGAGUUACAAAAGAAAGUUAUAAAUGAAGCGGUCUGGAAAGGCCCGCCAAAGACGGUAACAGCCCGGUAGUUGAAAUGGCUUUCCCUCCAGAGUGGAUCCUGAGUACGGCGGAACACGUGAAAUUCCGUCGGAAUCCGGGAGGACCAUCUCCCAAGGCUAAAUACUCCCUAGUGACCGAUAGUGAACCAGUACCGUGAGGGAAAGGUGAAAAGCACCCCGGAAGGGGAGUGAAACAGUUCCUGAAACCGUGUGCCUACAAGUAGUUAGAGCCCGUUAAUGGGUGAUAGCGUGCCUUUUGUAGAAUGAACCGGCGAGUUACGAUUUGUUGCAAGGUUAAGCGGAAAAAGCGGAGCCGUAGCGAAAGCGAGUCUGAAUAGGGCGCAUAAGUAACAGGUCGUAGACCCGAAACCAGGUGAUCUACCCAUGUCCAGGAUGAAGGUAAGGUAAUACUUACUGGAGGUCCGAACCCACGCACGUUGAAAAGUGCGGGGAUGAGGUGUGGGUAGCGGAGAAAUUCCAAUCGAACUUGGAGAUAGCUGGUUCUCUCCGAAAUAGCUUUAGGGCUAGCCUCGAGGUAAAGAGUCAUGGAGGUAGAGCACUGUUUGGACUAGGGGCCCUUCUCGGGUUACCGAAUUCAGAUAAACUCCGAAUGCCAUGUACUUAUACUCGGGAGUCAGACUGCGAGUGAUAAGAUCCGUAGUCGAAAGGGAAACAGCCCAGACCACCAGUUAAGGUCCCCAAAUAUAUGUUAAGUGGAAAAGGAUGUGGGGUUGCUUAGACAACCAGGAUGUUGGCUUAGAAGCAGCCACCAUUGAAAGAGUGCGUAAUAGCUCACUGGUCGAGUGACCCCGCGCCGAAAAUGUACCGGGGCUAAACAUAUUACCGAAACUGUGGAUGAACCUCUUUAGAGGUUCGUGGUAGGAGAGCGUUCUAAGGGCGGUGAAGUCAG